GAACUGGUGGUUCAGUGGUGGAAUUCUUGCCUGCCACGUGGGAGACCCAGGUUCAAUUCCCAGCCAAUGCA
RNAcentral lists this transfer RNA (71 nucleotides) under Nestor notabilis (Kea). It matches the Rfam family "tRNA". From Rfam's summary of the family: Transfer RNA (tRNA) molecules are approximately 80 nucleotides in length. Their secondary structure includes four short double-helical elements and three loops (D, anti-codon, and T loops). Further hydrogen bonds mediate the characteristic L-shaped molecular structure. tRNAs have two regions of fundamental functional importance: the anti-codon, which is responsible for specific mRNA codon recognition, and the 3' end, to which the tRNAs corresponding amino acid is attached (by aminoacyl-tRNA synthetases). tRNAs cope with the degeneracy of the genetic code in two manners: having more than one tRNA (with a specific anti-codon) for a particular amino acid; and 'wobble' base-pairing, i.e. permitting non-standard base-pairing at the 3rd anti-codon position. The record is from Rfam by way of RNAcentral. Lineage: Eukaryota; Metazoa; Chordata; Aves; Psittaciformes; Psittacidae.